AUCGCUUCUCGGCCUUUUGGCUAAGAUCAAGUGUAUUAUUGUAUCCUGCUCUUUAAUAUCAUUUUUGUGUAUUUUGUAAGACCUUCU
Heterocephalus glaber (naked mole-rat) is the source of this 87-nucleotide small nuclear RNA. Its record names the gene U2. It matches the Rfam family "U2 spliceosomal RNA". From Rfam's summary of the family: U2 is a small nuclear RNA (snRNA) component of the spliceosome (involved in pre-mRNA splicing). Complementary binding between U2 snRNA (in an area lying towards the 5' end but 3' to hairpin I) and the branchpoint sequence (BPS) of the intron results the bulging out of an unpaired adenosine, on the BPS, which initiates a nucleophilic attack at the intronic 5' splice site, thus starting the first of two transesterification reactions that mediate splicing. The record is from Ensembl. NCBI's taxonomy places the organism in Eukaryota, Metazoa, Chordata, Mammalia, Rodentia, Bathyergidae.